UAGCUGUGUGUUAAACUUUCAGAACAAGUCAAUUCAUCAUAGGCCUGAACAAAUAUCUUGAAGCUCUAAACCAUGGUUUUGGAGUUGGCAUGAGAUUCAAGAUGCAGUUUGAGGUCGAGGAUUCUCCAGAGAAGAGGUUGCCACUUGCCAUGUAUUCAAAAGUAAAUCUCAUUGCUAUUGUCAUGGAAUUGAUCUAAUUUGUCCCUUUUUUUCCCACAUUAUCAGGUUCUCAGGUACAAUAACAGGAGUCGAAGAUAUUUCUCCUCACUGGGAAGAUUCUAAAUGGCGAUCACUGAAGGUUAGUGUAUUUCUUGAUGUUCUUUUGAUUAAAUUAGCAUAUGGAAUUACUCAAACUCUAUGCUGUUCUCGUGUUUUCAGGUUCAGUGGGACGAACCUGCAUCCAUUCCAAGACCUGAAAGGGUUUCUCCAUGGGAGAUAGAACCAUUUGUGGCUUCAGUUCCCACAAGCCUGGUUCAACCAUCGGCAGCAAAAAAUAAAAGGCCAAGAUUGCAUGUUGAAACCCCAGUUCCUGGUUCAACAUUCUUGCAUACCCUUUUUUCCCAAACUUUCUAGCAUUUUUAUGUAUUAGGACUUCAUUUAAUUUUGUUGCUAUUUCCUAUGUGGUAGAUACUCCAAGUUCAACAGCAUCAGCUGUGUGGAAUCCGUCCCGCGAAUCACAUCAAGUAAUGGGCUCUCUUGAAGAACAAAGGAGUGAACAAGUUGACACUGGUGGCACUCUCAUCAGAAACAGAAACGGCAACACUUCUGGAACUCUUUUAGAGGGAGACUGGCUAUCUCCUGAUGUGAAUUCGUCUCUUAAUAUGUUUUCUGAAGAAACAGAAGAGAGCAAAAGUGCAUCGGCUUGGUCUAUUUUUUCAAACUGUUCAGCCCCAAAUUCUGGAAAACGGAGUAAUAGUCGCAUUUCUUGCCUGAAUGAUGGGAGGAAAUUAGAUGCGUCUGCAACUUGCAGAUUAUUUGGUAUUGAUUUGAACAGCCCUUUGACGGGUGCUGCCCUUCUCGAGAAAUCCUCUCUAAAAUCAGUUGAUAAACUAAAUGAUGCUUCUGAAGGAUGCGUCUCAAAUCAACGGCAGCAGUUACAAGUACCAGUAAAGGAGGUUCCUAGCAGACAGAAUCACUCCACUAGAAGUCGCACCAAGGUAUAAUUUCACCUUCUACUUUUAACAACAAAGUAUUAUUGAUUGAGCGUUUACUGAAUUGAAAGAGUAAUUAAUAAUAACUAUUUGUUUCUUUGGUGUGAAAUACUUUGAGAAGGUUCAAAUGCAAGGUGUUGCUGUGGGUCGUGCUGUGGACCUAACUGCGUUAAAGGGAUACGAUGAGCUUAUAAGUGAAAUUGAAGAGAUGUUCGAAAUAAAGGGUGAGCUUCAGCUCCGACAUAAUUGGGAGAUUGUUUUCACUGAUGACGAAGGAGACAUGAUGCUUAUGCGCGAUUAUCCAUGGCUGUACGUAUUAUUUGUAUUUUUCAUCUAGACAUAUCAUCUACUUCAACGGUUAUAUGAUACUAUUAUUUUCUUGCAGAGAAUUCUGUGAUAAGGUGCAGAGGAUUUUCAUCUAUUCUAGCCAAGAUGUGAAAAAAAUGAGAGCAGGAAGCAAGCUUCCUCUAUCUUCGACAGACAACUGAAGGAGAUGCUUUAACUUGGAAGUUGGUGAAGAUUAAAAUUAAAUUAAUUUCACAUUUUCUUGUUCAUCCCUGCUUUUUCCUUUUAAUUUGUUUUUCAAUGGAAAAAGCUUCAGUUUUUCGCUGUUGUAGAGGUCUUGAGGAAUUUCUUGUUUGUUUCUCUGAUUCUGUGUCAUCAAGAUGGAUGGCUAUAGAUAUGGAUGUAGCAUCAGGCUAACAACCAAGAAAACUAGCUGUUUGCGACUAGAAAUUUUACGAGUAAUCGGGGGUGGGAUUAGGAUUAGAAUCUGUGUAUAUCAGAGGUGUUUCCGGUGGAUUUGGAUGUAAAUAUAAAUUUCUUGGCAUCUGGUUUAUAAAUUGCCAGGUUCUUUUGGAAAUGUGUACUUCAAUAAUCCAGGGCAUUUCAUUUUCUUCCUUGCAUGCAUAGUUAAAUUGAAUUCAAGGUUCUGGUUCAAUGGAUAUGUGG
RNAcentral lists this long non-coding RNA (2102 nucleotides) under Olea europaea subsp. europaea. Lineage: Eukaryota; Viridiplantae; Streptophyta; Magnoliopsida; Lamiales; Oleaceae. The record is from RNAcentral.